UUCACAUGAUUAAUCUGUUGUCAUCAUAUUCUAUUUGUUUUGGUUUCUUUUUUCCUCUUUUUUUUUUUGAGGAAGAUUAGCCCUGAGCUAACGUCUGCUGCCAAUCCUCCUCUUUUUGCUGAGAAAGACUGGCCCUGAGCUAACAUCCAUGCCCAACUUCCUCUAUUUUAUAUGUCGGAGCCUGCCACAGCAUGGCUUGUUUGAACCCAUGAAUGUUUUCCUUCACAGCUCUGAAAGGAACUUGUUCUCAGUGUGCUCUGUUAUUUGUUUAUCUCUUAUAUUAAUUUCAAAUGCCAAUCUAUGUCCACUGCUAUUCUCUCUCUCCAUCAAUAACCAUUAUAGUCCUUAGUGUGAAUAAUUAUUUAUUUUUUACUAUUCAUAAUAACACACAAUUCUACAGAAAAUAUAAGGGUUUCUUAACUUAAAGCCUUACACAUCUUCUAUCCACUCAAAAUACAAUUUCUGUACAGGCGAAAUUUUUCUUCUGGAGAUUGUUUUUCAUAGGACUAGAUCCAUCCUCUUCAUGUCCCUGUCCUUCACUGGUCACUUCAACUCAUAACAUUAUAUGCUUCCGGGACCUCCUAUGAGUGGCUUUGCCUUAUAAUUUUCCAAAACGCCUGGGGAUUUUUGUGCAUGGUGAUUCCCUAAAACCUGUACUUACCUUUUCUUCAAAAAAACAUUUCCCCCAGGAUAUGAAAAAUGUCAAUUUACAAAUUUUGUUAUUGUAUUCUUCAGCUCUAAAAUUUAUGUUUGAUAUUUUUUAUGCUUUCUCUGUCUGUUAAUAUUGUCAUUUUGUUCAUGUAUUUUUCUCCAUAGCUAAUUGAACAUUUUUAUGAUAGUUACUGUCAAUUAUUUUUCAGCUAAUUCGUAUACCUCUGAUUCUUUAAGAUUGUUUCUGGAGGUUUAUGUUGUUCCUCUGAUUGAACUAGGCUUUCACGUUCCUCCAUGUGUCUUGUGACUUUGUGCUGGGAUCUAUGCAUUUGACAAAACAGCCACCUCUUACCGUAUUUAUGACCUGUCUUUGUACAGGGAACAAUCUUCACCAAUCGUUCUGGUCAGAGAUUCUGGUAUUUCUCUGAGUGUGUUUUAUAUGGAUUUGUGCAUCUCAGUUCCCAAUUAGAGGGAUUUGAUGGUUUAUUUUUUUCAGGAACUCAUAAUUUUCUUCUCCAUCUGGCAGCUGUAUGGUACUGCAUGUUCUCUGGAGCAGCAGAAAGCUACCCAGCUCUUUCGUUCUCUGCAGUCCACAGGCAUCUAGAAUAUGCCAGUGUCCAUCAGUGCUCCAGGAUGGGAGAAGCGAGGAGUUGAAGAUUCCUCCAGCUCCUUCCACACCGAGUUGGGAUGGAAGAUGAAUAUUACGCAGAGUAGGUGCACGCUAGUUCAAACCAUUGCUUUUGGGCUCAGUGACCCCCCAACCUGGCACCUUUCCUGUCAGCACUCAAAUUCAGGCGUGUUGUUGAGUGGGUGUCUGUGUGGGAGUAAGAAGGUUCUGGGUCUUCCUAUUCUGCUUCUUGUUAUCAUCCCUCCUCUUAUUCUUUCUCUCUCUCUCUCUUUUUUUUGUCAUUUAAUUUAAUAUUUUUGUGACAAUGUGUACAUUUGUUUCAACAUACUCAGAUCUUUUUGUUGAUAAUAAAAAUUUGAUUUCUGCUUUGGUUAGCUGUGGGUGCCAUAACAAAAUUUCAUUGGUUAGGUGGCUUAAACAUGGAAAUUCAUAUUGUCACAGUUCUGGAGCCUAGAAGUCCAAGAUGAAGAUCCCAACAUGGUCAGUUUCUGGUGAGAGCUCUAUUUCUGGCUUGUAAAUGUCCACCUUGUUGCUGUGUCCUCUCGUAGCAGCAAAAGAGAAAGAAAGCUCUCUGUAUGAGGUCACUAAUCCUAUCUUGUGGAUCUUACCCUUACGACCUCAUCUAAAUCAAAUUAUGUCUCAAAGGCCCCAUCUCCAAGUACCAUCACAUAGGGAGUUAGGGCUCAACGUAGGGAUCUGGAAGACACAUUUCAAUCUAUAGCAAGUGUGUACUUGCUUUCUUGGAGUUGUCCUCUAGAAGAAAAUAACUUAAUUAAAUUUAAAGCCUAUUGCUAAUUACAAAAAUUUGAAAGAAACAUAUUUUUACUUAAAUGUUGUAAAAGAUGUCUACUUCCUAAUGUCUGUUUCAGUGAAAAUAUUUUCCUUUAUUCUAGUACUGGUACAAAUUGUUGGUUAGAGAUAUAUAAACAUUCAGACAAAAGAGGCCUUUCUUAGUAUUAAAUUUGUUUUUAUGUGAAAUUUUGUGAUUUGAAUCUUCAUGACUCUCAUUUAUAUAAGUAUCAUAAAAAAAGAAAUGUAUUUCAACAAAUAAUUAGUCUUAGUGGUUUCUAUGGACAAAGAAAUUUACAUAAUGGUCACAUUGUAAUGUGAUUUUAACAAAACAGGAAAGUUACACCAAAAAUGAUGUCUUGGUUGAAAAAAAUUUCACAUUGGGAAGUCCCAUCUAGCAAUGGAGAACAGAGCCAUCCAGUGGAUGGGCACUGUGUGCAGUAAAAGGUAAAACAACUGAGCACAAGUUAGUCUGCCAAGUACUUCCUUUAAAGUAACAGCCUCCUCUUUGUUUUCUUUUCCCCAUGCUUGUCUUUCUAAAGGCUCUAAAAUAAUUCAUGGAUUCUAAUUCUAUUAGACUAUUAUGUAAAAAUUAAUGCCAACUGUUUAAGAUCAACACAAGCCCUGCAUUUGCAUUAUCAUGUGUUAUUCUCAUAGCCACUCGUGAGACACUAUUUUAGGGAUGAUUACACGGAGGCUGAGAAAGUCCUGCAACUUGUUUAAGUUCAAAGAGUUAGUAUGGGUUAGACAUGGACUAUUGGCUCUGGCAGCUGAAUCUGAAUCUCAUGCUUUUUGGCACUAUAAUAGAGUUAAUUUAUUCAAAUAUAAAUAUUUACUAUUCAGGGGAAACUUCACCUGCAUUUGUCCCACCUCUCAUGUUAAUUGACUACGCUCAUUCAUAGCCAUUGGCUGACUGUCAAAUAUAGCCUGGCCAAAGAAGCCCAUAUAUUCUCUCACUGUGAGAUCCUGGCUAUACUGUUUCUCUAUCAGGAUGACUCAGAGUUGUUCAGCUCUGGUGUUGGCUGCAAGCAGUAAAUUUGAAACCAUGAAGCAUCAAGUAUCAAAAGGUUUACCUAUUAUAAGGUGGAACCAGUUGUGGAACAGACCUCCAAAUGACUAAAAUCUUCUCUAUUAUGGUAGGAUGUAAAAUUUAAGAAAGAAAUUUAAGACCGAUUUUAAUACCUAUUGCAUGUACAAGAGAAUGUGGAGUUAGAUUUUUCCUGUUGUCUCAGAAUUGUGCCUAAAAUCCAAAGCUGCAGACACAGGGCACCAACAAUUCCUUAGCCACUACUAGCUUCCAAGUUUACUAAGUGGUACUUGUCCUGAGUCCCACUAGUUACCAUCUCUUCUCUCCUCCCCCGCCCAAUUUCCUUCUGUUUCUCAACUUGAGAGACAGAGAACAUUCACAAUUUGUCCUUGAAGUUUCCUUCUUCCACUGCCCUUGGAGAAGGAGACAAUAGUGUUUCUCCAUCUGUGUAGCCAAGUGAGUCAGCUUCAAUAAAAUCCUCAAGAAGGUUGGAGGCGUCUCAAAAAAGGGGAGACUGACACUGUCCCUCUAAAUAUUUACUUAGUCACAGAAUCUGGAGACUUAUUCCGUUUCUAAAAGCAUAACGUUUUUCUUUUCUGUUCUCCUCCCUCACUAUGGGAUUCCCUUACGUUCAGGAGAAGUGCUUGAGUGUGUGCCUGCUUUUAAAGACAUGUUCCUGGUGAGGUUGAAGGUGGUAAGCUGGUCUUUGGAGGGUCCUCGGGAAAUUGGGAGGAUUUCUGACACAGACAGGUGCAGCAUGAAACUUUACAUGUACAACCCUUAUGUAGAGGUUGCCACAUCAUGAGAAGCCACCAGAACCAGACUGGAAUCAGCCUAAACUAGAAGUAGAGCAGAGACCCCUCUCAACCAACAUUGUGGAGACCAUCGAGUAUGGAGAGGUUUGCCAACCUGUCUUGAUUCCAAUCUUGCCUCCAAAUCCAGAGUAACAAACCAAUGUUAGAAGAAUUAGAAAGGAGUUGUCUCAGAGACAAACUACAUCCCUCUCCUCCACUUCAAAUACUAAAGAUUGGUGGAGUGGGGAAAGAGGGAAGAGAGGAGAAGAGCUUUGAGUCAAGUAUGAAAUUGAGGUUUUAAAAAAUGAGCAGCAUCCAGUCUUAUUUAUUGGAAACAUUUUGUUCUGCUACUCAAAAUGACCAUGGAAUCAUCCAAAGACAUUGGUGAGGUGGUGAUCAUCUAGCUGGAGAAGGAAAUUUGACCCACUGUUGCUGUUGGGGAUAGUUGGAAGAAAAUAGUUAUUUUGUAAUUAAACUCCAACAAAUUGAGACUCCUCAGUCGGUAGUUUUUUAUAAGUGAAUUGUUUCUCUCAGCAAGUUUCUGUGUAAUUUCUUAUGGAUGAAAUUUCACUUACUUUUUAUGUUAUAUAGACCACAGAUGUCUAAUAGCACUUUCUGUAACAAUCAAAUUUUUCUAUAUGUCUUCAGUCCAAUGUAAUAUCCACUAGACACAUGUGACCAUUGACUAAUUGAAAUACGGCUUAUAAGAAAUUGAGGAACUGAACUCUUUAUUUUAAUUUAAUUAAUUUUGAUUUAAAUUUAAAUACUACCAUGUGUCUAGUAGCUACAAUGCUUAACAGUGUUAGUCUAGAUUCUGAAAACAAAAAUUGGGUAGAGGCAAUAAGGAAGGUAAGGAAAGUUCAAUGUUAACAGGUGUUUUUUCUUUCCUGCAAAUGUAUGUAUGUAUUUAUUUAUUUUUUAACGGGUAGUGUAGAAGCAUCAAUGUGUAUUAACUUUGCC
Equus caballus (horse) is the source of this 4849-nucleotide long non-coding RNA. NCBI's taxonomy places the organism in Eukaryota, Metazoa, Chordata, Mammalia, Perissodactyla, Equidae. The record is from Ensembl.